RNAcentral lists this unclassified non-coding RNA (263 nucleotides) under plant metagenome. RNAcentral's name for it is "partial contains small subunit ribosomal RNA, internal transcribed spacer 1, and 5.8S ribosomal RNA". The record is from RNAcentral.
UUUCCGUAGGUGAACCAGCGGAAGGAUCAUUAUCGAGUUUUGACUGGACUGUAGCUGGCCUUCCGAAGCAUGUGCACGCCCUGCUCAUCCACUCUACACCUGUGCACUUACGGUGAGUAUCAGAUCGUGAAGCGUGCUCUUUUACCGGAGUUGGUGAAGCGUGUAUGUGCCGGCGUUUAUAACAAACACUAUAAAGUAUCAGAAUGUGUAUUACGAUGUAACGCAUCUAAAUACAACUUUCAGCAACGGAUCUCUUGGCUCUC